AGCCCGGUGGUGUAGUGGCCAAGCAUCUGGGGCCUUGAAUCGCGAACACGGUUCGAAUCCGUGCCGGGCUA
RNAcentral lists this transfer RNA (71 nucleotides) under Promethearchaeota archaeon. RNAcentral describes it as "Candidatus Lokiarchaeota archaeon tRNA-Gln". Lineage: Archaea; Promethearchaeati; Promethearchaeota. The record is from RNAcentral.